This 254-nucleotide ribosomal RNA is filed under the name uncultured bacterium. RNAcentral's name for it is "partial 16S ribosomal RNA". It matches the Rfam family "Bacterial small subunit ribosomal RNA", at positions 524 to 776 of the family's 1533-position model. The record is from RNAcentral.
UACAUGGGGUGCAAACGUUGCUCGGAAUUAUUGGGCGUAAAGCGCACGUAGGCGGUUCGUUAAGUCGGAUGUGAAAGCCCCUCGGCUCAACUGAGGAAGUGCACCCGAAACUGGCGAGCUUGAGUACGAAAGAGGAUCGCGGAAUUCCCGGUGUAGAGGUGAAAUUCGUAGAUAUCGGGAGGAACACCGGUGGCGAAGGCGGCGACCUGGUCCUUUACUGACGCUGAGGCGCGAAAGCGUGGGGAGCAAACAGG